CCCUGACUAAAGAUGGCUCCCCGGCUGUAGAAAGCUUCAGUCCGCUUCCGGACGCGAUCGGAUGACGUACACUGAGGGAGUCCGGGGAUUCCCCGUGUUGGCGUCGGGGGUCUCAGCGCUAUGCUAGGUCUGAGAGGGCAGUGGUGAUGGCAGCUCAGUGGGUAGCCCGCGGCUCAGAGCCGUGGCUGGACGAGUUCACUGUCCCUGCGGAGAAAAGCUGUCUCUUGGAGGGCAGCCGGGGCCGCAUCGAGUGCUUGUUCGAGGUGCAGUUGGCCGUGCUCGGGGCGCAGGGAGACCGACGCAUCUGGGUGCAGCUGGCGGGCGGCUGGAAGGCCGUGCGCGCCGCCAAGGAGUAUAUUAAGGGACUCUGCGAACCUGAACUAGAAGAAAAAGAGUACUACCCAAAGGACAUGCACUGCAUCUUUGUUGGUGCACAAAGCCUGUUUCUCAACAGUCUUAUUCAGGAUACCUGUGCUGAUAUAUCAGUGCUGGAAAUAGGAUUGCUCGGUAUUAAAGGGGGUGCAGAAGCUGUUGUUAUGGCUCAGAGUCAUAUUCAGCAGUUUGUGAACCUUUUUGAGAGUAAUGAAAGCUUAUUAAGUGACAAUGAGUCGGAGAUUAAGAAGCAAUUCAGACAAUUUGUGGAAGCACAUGCAGAUAAAUACACAAUGGAUUUACUGAUUUUGCCCAGCUCACUAAAAAGAGAGCUCCUAGCUCUCACACAAGCUGAAUGCUGUAAAGUGCAGAGCAGUAUCAUAGAUCUGACAGGUUCUGAAAGCCCAACAGAGCUUUUACAUAACGAAGCCCCCAAAGUAAUAGCUACAAACAGAGAUGGAAGAGAAGGUGGUGAGGAAGAAAGAAACAAUGCUGGAACACCUGUAACUGAACUUACAAAGCAAAUGGACGUUGUGUUUUCUGAUGCUCCUGGAACAAGUUUUGUUCCCAUAAAUGUGCCUGUGUUACAGACAGUAGUGCCUAAAGAAAGGCAGUCAUGUAAAAGAAGAUCCUCUUAUGAUGAGGAAAGGCUUCCUAAAAAGCAGUUCUCUUCAGAAAAUGAUCAGGAAGUCAUAUUUUCACACAGUAAUCAUUCAGAUAGUGAAUCAAUUAUUGAUCUGCUUUCAGAUAGCUGCAAUGAAAGGAGAUCAAAUGAUUCCAGUUAUCACAUUAAAGUAGGUGAUGAAAUCAGUGAGGAAAUGGAAUAUAGAAUUCUUGUGAACUUUUUCAGAACAAUGGGAUAUCGCCAAAAUAUUGUAGAAAAAGUCAUUGGUAUCCUAGGGCAAUCUGUGGAACCAUUAACACUGUUAGAAGAAAUUGAAAAGGAAAAUGCGAAAUCUCAAAAAGAGCAUGGGCAGUCAUCUCCAAUGCCUAAAACUGACAAUCCCUCUUUAGGAAGUAAUGCAAAUAACUCACAAAAGCUAGUAGACAAAAGCAAUAAAAGUCCGCUUAAAUCCAGUCAUACUUCAAGGGGGACAAAAAGUGAGUAUCACAAAAUGAGAAAUCCACCAAGCAUGCAAGCUGAUGCAGAAAAUGAAAUGCAUACGUUGGUAGGUAAACCUGUUUCUCCUUCCAGUAAAAAUUCAGCUAUGUGCUAUAAAAAACGAGACAUUUAUUGCCAGGGUAAGAAUUACAGUUUGAGAUCAAGUGAUAGAGAUACUGAUGGUGGUGUAACUUUUGGGACUAUACAAGCUGGAGCUCUAAAAGAUGUUGAUUUUGUAGCCAGAGGGAGCUCAGAUGUGCAGUGUACCUUGACUAAGACUAAAACUGCAGUUCAGCAAAGCACUGCAGGGCCCUCAACUGUACAGAAUAGUCAUCCUGGUUCUGAGGACCAAUUAGGACACUGCAGCUCUUCUCAAGGGAGAUCUCCUAACCAACGCCGUUCCCAAACCUCAAACUCAGAAAAUCCUGUCUCAAACCAGGUAUUGUCUUCACAAAUGCAGCCCUCAAAUCCUGAUAAAAAGACAGUGGGACCACAAAGACAUCAUCCUGAUCCUUCUGUUACUGGAGUUCAGAGAUUUUUGGAUUCUCUGAAAAAGCCAUACAGACUGGAAUUGAAAAAUGAACCUGGGAAACCAUAUUUAAAACACAUCAUUAUUGAUGGAAGCAAUGUUGCAAUCACUCAUGGGCUAAGGAAAUUCUUCUCCUGUCGAGGAAUCGCAAUAGCUGUUGACUACUUUUGGAAACGUGGCCACAGAAAUAUUACUGUGUUUGUUCCGCAAUGGAGAACAAGACGUGAUCCUAACAUUACAGAGCAGGAUUUCUUAACAGAGCUCCAGGAUGUUGGAAUAUUAUCUUUAACCCCUGCAAGGGUGGUUUUAGGAGCAAGAAUUGCUGCUCAUGAUGACAGGUUUUUAUUACACCUUGCUGAUAAAACUGGAGGUGUUAUUGUGACUAAUGAUAACUUCAGAGAAUUUGUGACAGAAUCAAUUGCCUGGAGAGAAAUUAUUCAAAGAAGGCUGCUCCAGUACACUUUUGCUGGUGACAUAUUUAUGGUUCCUGAUGAUCCUUUGGGAAGAAAUGGACCUAGAUUAGAUGACUUCCUUCAAAAUGAAGACUUUUCUAGCCUGUUCAGAAACUGCUGGUGACAUUUGCAUCUAAUCAAGAUCUCUCUCAGAGCUAAGAUAAGUAAAACAAUAACUUCCUCUGAGAUUCAAUUGUGAUGGCUUUCAUUCAAAGGUGGUCCAAACUAUGUUAACAUAGCACAAAGCUGGAGUGGUUUGGGUGUGGUGGUAGCCUUGUAUCCUGUUACUUAUGGUGAUGUUAUUUAAAACACCUUGGUUUAUCACUUAUUCAUAGUGGGACAAUAGGUGGUACAAUAGAAACUCUACACUCAGUCAUGAGAGAGGCAUUUCUCUUCUCACUUGAGACAUGAAAUUGUGCUGUUAAUAAAACAAUUUUUGAAGGGCAUUGUUAUUAAAUGCUUUUUAAAUAAUAUUUUUAAAUAUUAAUAAAUAUAUAGUUCCUGUAAGAUUAUUAUACAUUUAAAAUAUUCAUAUAUUCCAAGCAUGAAUUUGCUUUAUAUUAGCCAUCAAGAUGUGGGAAUGGCUUUGCUCUUUUGUGUGAGAAAAUGAGCUGCUCUUUACUUUUCUUUCACCACUUUAAGUAUAUAAAUGCUAAUGGUAGUGAGGAGUAUUCAGCGAUCUUUUAGAAACAACUGAGGUAAUUAAAAAUCAGUAAUAAAAAAGACAAGUUAUACUUAACUAAUUGUAUGUGUAAAUCUUUAUCUCAGCUAAUGGAAACAACUGAGGAAAGUGAGAAGUAUAUACCAGAAGUUCACAGGUUGAUCUGAAAAUAACUGUGUUUAAUGUUGUCAUGAAAAAUCUAGUGUAGUUCUAGAACUCCAGUAGGAAAUGCUAAGAAAAUAAUAUAACACUUAUUGUAAGUACAUAUGACAGUACAUUAUGCAUAAUUACAAAUAAUAUUUAAAUAUAAUAUAUUUUUUUUGAAUAGAAGGGCUGUAAUAUAAAGUCCUUAGAAGAUGUCAUGUGGAACAUUGUGUUUUAGCUGCCCAAAACACAGUGCUGUGUCUGAAAAAUGUGAAAG
Molecule: RNA transcript, 3537 nt
Organism: Pezoporus occidentalis (night parrot)
Lineage: Eukaryota; Metazoa; Chordata; Aves; Psittaciformes; Psittacidae
Gene: N4BP1
Gene name: NEDD4 binding protein 1
Exons: 8
Source: RefSeq, a predicted model, not a curated record